ACGAACGCUGGCGGCGUGCUUAACACAUGCAAGUCGAACGGAAAGGCCCUGCUUGCAGGGUACUCGAGUGGCGAACGGGUGAGUAACACGUGGGUGAUCUGCCCUGCACUUCGGGAUAAGCCUGGGAAACUGGGUCUAAUACCGGAUAGGAGCCAUUUUUAGUGUGAUGGUUGGAAAGUUUUUUCGGUGUAGGAUGAGCUCGCGGCCUAUCAGCUUGUUGGUGGGGUAAUGGCCUACCAAGGCGGCGACGGGUAGCCGGCCUGAGAGGGUGGACGGCCACAUUGGAACUGAGAUACGGCCCAGACUCCUACGGGAGGCAGCAGUGGGGAAUAUUGCACAAUGGGCGCAAGCCUGAUGCAGCGACGCCGCGUGGGGGAUGACGGCCUUCGGGUUGUAAACUCCUUUCGCUAGGGACGAAGCUUUUUGUGACGGUACCUAGAUAAGAAGCACCGGCUAACUACGUG
This 464-nucleotide ribosomal RNA is filed under the name uncultured bacterium. Its description in RNAcentral is "partial 16S ribosomal RNA". It matches the Rfam family "Bacterial small subunit ribosomal RNA", at positions 29 to 507 of the family's 1533-position model. The record is from RNAcentral.